This 807-nucleotide ribosomal RNA is filed under the name Salmonella enterica. RNAcentral's name for it is "partial 23S ribosomal RNA". It matches the Rfam family "Bacterial large subunit ribosomal RNA", at positions 739 to 1547 of the family's 2925-position model. The record is from RNAcentral. Lineage: Bacteria; Pseudomonadati; Pseudomonadota; Gammaproteobacteria; Enterobacterales; Enterobacteriaceae.
GGCAGGUUGAAGGUUGGGUAACACUAACUGGAGGACCGAACCGACUAAUGUUGAAAAAUUAGCGGAUGACCUGUGGCUGGGGGUGAAAGGCCAAUCAAACCGGGAGAUAGCUGGUUCUCCCCGAAAGCUAUUUAGGUAGCGCCUCGUGAAUUCAUCUCCGGGGGUAGAGCACUGUUUCGGCUAGGGGGCCAUCCCGGCUUACCAACCCGAUGCAAACUGCGAAUACCGGAGAAUGUUAUCACGGGAGACACACGGCGGGUGCUAACGUCCGUCGUGAAGAGGGAAACAACCCAGACCGCCAGCUAAGGUCCCAAAGUCAUGGUUAAGUGGGAAACGAUGUGGGAAGGCCCAGACAGCCAGGAUGUUGGCUUAGAAGCAGCCAUCAUUUAAAGAAAGCGUAAUAGCUCACUGGUCGAGUCGGCCUGCGCGGAAGAUGUAACGGGGCUAAACCAUGCACCGAAGCUGCGGCAGCGACACUAUGUGUUGUUGGGUAGGGGAGCGUUCUGUAAGCCUGCGAAGGUGGCCUGUGAGGGUUGCUGGAGGUAUCAGAAGUGCGAAUGCUGACAUAAGUAACGAUAAAGCGGGUGAAAAGCCCGCUCGCCGGAAGACCAAGGGUUCCUGUCCAACGUUAAUCGGGGCAGGGUGAGUCGACCCCUAAGGCGAGGCCGAAAGGCGUAGUCGAUGGGAAACGGGUUAAUAUUCCCGUACUUGGUGUUACUGCGAAGGGGGGACGGAGAAGGCUAUGUUGGCCGGGCGACGGUUGUCCCGGUUUAAGCGUGUAGGUGUGUGUUCCAGGUAAAUCCGGUU